RNAcentral lists this ribosomal RNA (562 nucleotides) under Malassezia furfur. RNAcentral describes it as "LSU rRNA". It matches the Rfam family "Eukaryotic large subunit ribosomal RNA", at positions 104 to 653 of the family's 3401-position model. Lineage: Eukaryota; Fungi; Basidiomycota; Malasseziomycetes; Malasseziales; Malasseziaceae. The record is from RNAcentral.
AGAGCUCAAAUUUGAAAGCUGGUACCUUCGGUAUCCGCGUUGUAACCUCGAGACACGUUUUCCGUGCGGCGCUAUGGACAAGUUCCUUGGAACAGGACAUCGUAGAGGGUGAAAAUCCCGUACUUGCCAUGGAUGUACCGUGCUUUGCGAUACGUGCUCUAAGAGUCGAGUUGUUUGGGAUUGCAGCUCAAAAUGGGUGGUAGACUCCAUCUAAAGCUAAAUAUCGGGGAGAGACCGAUAGCGAACAAGUACCGUGAGGGAAAGAUGAAAAGCACUUUGGAAAGAGAGUUAAAAGUACGUGAAAUUGUCGAAAGGGAAGCGCUUGAAGUCAGCCAUGCCGCUCAGGACUCAGCCUGGCUUUUGCUUGGUGUAUUUCCUGGGUAGCAAGUCAGCAUUGGUUUGGAUCGUCGGAGAAGCAUAGUUGGAAUGUGGCGCCCUCGGGCGUGUUAUAGCCUUCUAUUGGAUACGACGAUCUGGACCAAGGAACGCAGCGCGCCUUAUGGCGGGUCUUCGGACACCUUCGCGCUUAGGAUGCUGGCGUAAUGGCUUUAAGUGGCCCGUC